ACGCUCGACACCUACGGGAGACAGCAGUGGGGAAUAUUGCACAAUGGGGGAAACCCUGAUGCAGCGACGCCGCGUGGAGGAAGAAGGUCUUCGGAUUGUAAACUCCUGUUGUUGGGGAAAAAGAGGAUGGUACCCAACAAGGAAGUGACGGCUAACUACGCGCCAGCAGCCGCGGUAAUCUGAGCGGGCUGGCAAGGC
RNAcentral lists this ribosomal RNA (198 nucleotides) under uncultured bacterium. Its description in RNAcentral is "partial 16S ribosomal RNA". It matches the Rfam family "Bacterial small subunit ribosomal RNA", at positions 328 to 539 of the family's 1533-position model. The record is from RNAcentral.